RNAcentral lists this ribosomal RNA (468 nucleotides) under uncultured bacterium. Its description in RNAcentral is "partial 16S ribosomal RNA". It matches the Rfam family "Bacterial small subunit ribosomal RNA", at positions 28 to 507 of the family's 1533-position model. The record is from RNAcentral.
GACGAACGCUGGCGGCGUGCUUAACACAUGCAAGUCGAACGGAAAGGCCCUGCUUUUGUGGGUUGCUCGAGUGGCGAACGGGUGAGUAACACGUGAGUAACCUGCCCUUGACUUUGGGAUAACUUCAGGAAACUGGGGCUAAUACCGGAUAGGAGCUCCUGCUGCAUGUUGGGGGUUGGAAAGUUUCGGCGGUUGGGGAUGGACUCGCGGCUUAUCAGCUUGUUGGUGGGGUAGUGGCUUACCAAGGCUUUGACGGGUAGCCGGCCUGAGAGGGUGACCGGCCACAAUGGGACUGAGAUACGGACCAGACUCCUACGGGAGGCAGCAGUGGGGAAUAUUGCACAAUGGGCGGAAGCCUGAUGCAGCAACGCCGCGUGCGGGAUGACGGCCUUCGGGUUGUAAACCGAUGUCGCAUGUGACGAAGCGUGAGUGACGGUAAUGGGUAAAGAAGCACCGGCUAACUACGUG